GACGAACGCUGGCGGCGUGCUUAACACAUGCAAGUCGAACGGAAAGGCCCUGCUUUUGUGGGGUGCUCGAGUGGCGAACGGGUGAGUAACACGUGAGUAACCUGCCCUUGACUUUGGGAUAACUUCAGGAAACUGGGGCUAAUACCGGAUAGGAGCUCCUGCUGCAUGGUGGGGGUUGGAAAGUUUCGGCGGUUGGGGAUGGACUCGCGGCUUAUCAGCUUGUUGGUGGGGUAGUGGCUUACCAAGGCUUUGACGGGUAGCCGGCCUGAGAGGGUGAACGGCCACAAUGGGACUGAGGUACGGCCCAGACUCCUACGGGAGGCAGCAGUGGGGAAUAUUGCACAAUGGGCGGAAGCCUGAUGCAGCAACGCCGCGUGCGGGAUGACGGCCUUCGGGUUGUAAACCGCUUUCGCAUGUGACGAAGCGUGAGUGACGGUAAUGGGUAAAGAAGCACCGGCUAACUACGUG
This 468-nucleotide ribosomal RNA is filed under the name uncultured bacterium. RNAcentral describes it as "partial 16S ribosomal RNA". It matches the Rfam family "Bacterial small subunit ribosomal RNA", at positions 28 to 507 of the family's 1533-position model. The record is from RNAcentral.